Molecule: transfer RNA, 76 nt
Filed under: Lysobacteraceae bacterium
Lineage: Bacteria; Pseudomonadati; Pseudomonadota; Gammaproteobacteria; Lysobacterales; Lysobacteraceae
Also listed under: 1 other name
Description: tRNA-Phe
Rfam family: tRNA
About the family: Transfer RNA (tRNA) molecules are approximately 80 nucleotides in length.
Source: RNAcentral
GGCCGGGUAGCUCAGUUGGUAGAGCAAGGGAUUGAAAAUCCCUGUGUCGGCGGUUCGAUUCCGUCCCCGGCCACCA